UAGGGAAUCUUCCGCAAUGGGCGAAAGCCUGACGGAGCAACGCUGCGUGAGUGAUGAAGGUCUUCGGAUCGUAAAACUCUGUUAUUAGGGAAGAACAAAUGUGUAAGUAACUAUGCACGUCUUGACGGUACCUAAUCAGAAAGCCACGGCUAACUACGUGCCAGCAGCCGCGGUAAUACGUAGGUGGCAAGCGUUAUCCGGAAUUAUUGGGCGUAAAGCGCGCGUAGGCGGUUUUUUAAGUCUGAUGUGAAAGCCCACGGCUCAACCGUGGAGGGUCAUUGGAAACUGGAAAACUUGAGUGCAGAAGAGGAAAGUGGAAUUCCAUGUGUAGCGGUGAAAUGCGCAGAGAUAUGGAGGAACACCAGUGGCGAAGGCGACUUUCUGGUCUGUAACUGACGCUGAUGUGCGAAAGCGUGGGAAUCAAACAGG
This 429-nucleotide ribosomal RNA is filed under the name Bacteroidota bacterium. Its description in RNAcentral is "Bacteroidetes bacterium partial 16S ribosomal RNA". It matches the Rfam family "Bacterial small subunit ribosomal RNA", at positions 355 to 776 of the family's 1533-position model. Lineage: Bacteria; Pseudomonadati; Bacteroidota. The record is from RNAcentral.